Molecule: long non-coding RNA, 286 nt
Filed under: Daucus carota (carrot)
Lineage: Eukaryota; Viridiplantae; Streptophyta; Magnoliopsida; Apiales; Apiaceae
Description: long non-coding RNA (DCAR_LNC006628)
Source: RNAcentral
UUGGUUCCAGCCUUUCGCAAGAUGUUAAGAGUACCUAUGGAAGCUUUCCUAUGCAGAGGAGUCGUUUUGCUUAUGGUAACUAUACUGGUGCAGGAAUGCAGUACCCCAUGGCACGAACAUACCUAGCCACUCCGGACCUUCCUUCAGCUUAUUCAUCACCUGUCUUUGUCCAAGCACCAGCCGAGAAAGGUAUUGCAGGUUUUGCCAUUGAUUUUCUCAUGGGUGGAGUUUCAGCAGCUGUCUCCAAAACUGCUGCUGCUCCAAUUGAGCGUGUGAAACUCUUGAU